UUAACACCAACCCAUUUCCUUAAUUCCCGAGACAUGUGAAUGCUUUAAUAACCAAAACCUCCACAACCAUUAUACAUAUCUUGUUCUACACCCUCACAACACCCCUCACGAACACACCUACUGUUUAAACAACCAAGAAACAUCCCGUUUGAAGUUCUCCGGAACCGUUCUGUCACUCUCGAAAACUCUCACCCACUCCCUCGUUAAUUUACGGCUGCCAGAGAUCGGAGUUCCAGAAACCUUGAGUCGCCGGAACCUUCAAGACUUCGCCGGAGAACGGAGAAGACGACCGGAGACCCACGACGUUCGUUUACGUGUUCGUGUGUUCGACAUUGGAGACCUUCGCUGGAACUGGGUUCGCAUCGGGCUUAACUGUUUGGCCACGUUUCGCGUCUGUCUCUUUUCCACUCAAUAAACGUUGCACCUACAAGACGAAGCCAAGGCCGGAACUCAUACCAUCGGUGUAGACUCACUCGCUUUGUGUUCGCUUGCCACAUGGAAUUGUUGAGGAUGAUGAUGCUAUGAAAUGAAGUAGCGUUGAUGCCUAGAAACACAUAUAGACGUUUAGGUUUAAUCGUUGUAUCAAUUAUGAUUAUGUUGUAUUGUAUUUCCCUUGAACUUGAUGUUAUUUGAUUUCCUUGUAAUGUUGACAAAUGAAUUAUGAAAUGAAAUCGGU
Molecule: long non-coding RNA, 676 nt
Filed under: Helianthus annuus (common sunflower)
Lineage: Eukaryota; Viridiplantae; Streptophyta; Magnoliopsida; Asterales; Asteraceae
Description: sRNA HanXRQr2_Chr16g0777661
Source: RNAcentral